This 254-nucleotide ribosomal RNA is filed under the name uncultured bacterium. Its description in RNAcentral is "partial 16S ribosomal RNA". It matches the Rfam family "Bacterial small subunit ribosomal RNA", at positions 524 to 776 of the family's 1533-position model. The record is from RNAcentral.
GACAGAGGGUGCAAACGUUGUUCGGAAUUACUGGGCGUAAAGCGAGUGUAGGCGGUCUGAAAAGUCGGGUGUGAAAGCCCCGGGCUCAACCCGGGAAGUGCACUCGAAACUGCCAGGCUAGAGUAUCGGAGAGGUUGGUGGAAUUCUCGGUGUAGAGGUGAAAUUCGUAGAUAUCGAGAGGAACACCGGUGGCGAAGGCGGCCAACUGGACGAAUACUGACGCUGAGACUCGAAAGCGUGGGGGAGCAAACGGG